Molecule: long non-coding RNA, 261 nt
Filed under: Oryza sativa Indica Group (long-grained rice)
Lineage: Eukaryota; Viridiplantae; Streptophyta; Magnoliopsida; Poales; Poaceae
Description: lncRNA OsIR64_07g0023770
Source: RNAcentral
GUUCAUCACCUGCACAAAGGCUCCCCUCAUGUCGCAGAUGUAGCGGUAGAGCUCACCAUUGCGGACACGGUUCAUCUGAGCGGAGAUCCAGCGGAUGUGGCCAUUCAAAUUGUACUGCUUGAUCAGAUCAAACAUCUUCUUGAACUCAGCCUGCUCUUCUUUGUCCUUGGAUUCCUUGCCAUGGUCACCACAGACAACCACAAGGCGAGGGUUCCGACCAUACAACUCAACCAGACCAGUCAAAUUCUUGACAUGGUCUAG